This 776-nucleotide ribosomal RNA is filed under the name Mycetocola sp. RNAcentral's name for it is "bacterial SSU rRNA". It matches the Rfam family "Bacterial small subunit ribosomal RNA", at positions 46 to 835 of the family's 1533-position model. The record is from RNAcentral. Lineage: Bacteria; Bacillati; Actinomycetota; Actinomycetes; Micrococcales; Microbacteriaceae.
GCUUAACACAUGCAAGUCGAACGAUGAAGCCCAGCUUGCUGGGUGGAUUAGUGGCGAACGGGUGAGUAACACGUGAGUAACCUGCCCUUGACUCUGGGAUAAGCGUUGGAAACGACGUCUAAUACCGGAUACGAGCUUCCACCGCAUGGUGAGUUGCUGGAAAGAAUUUUGGUCAAGGAUGGACUCGCGGCCUAUCAGCUUGUUGGUGAGGUAACGGCUCACCAAGGCGACGACGGGUAGCCGGCCUGAGAGGGUGACCGGCCACACUGGGACUGAGACACGGCCCAGACUCCUACGGGAGGCAGCAGUGGGGAAUAUUGCACAAUGGGCGAAAGCCUGAUGCAGCAACGCCGCGUGAGGGACGACGGCCUUCGGGUUGUAAACCUCUUUUAGCAGGGAAGAAGCGAAAGUGACGGUACCUGCAGAAAAAGCACCGGCUAACUACGUGCCAGCAGCCGCGGUAAUACGUAGGGUGCAAGCGUUGUCCGGAAUUAUUGGGCGUAAAGAGCUCGUAGGCGGUUUGUCGCGUCUGCUGUGAAAUCCCGAGGCUCAACCUCGGGUCUGCAGUGGGUACGGGCAGACUAGAGUGCGGUAGGGGAGAUUGGAAUUCCUGGUGUAGCGGUGGAAUGCGCAGAUAUCAGGAGGAACACCGAUGGCGAAGGCAGAUCUCUGGGCCGCUACUGACGCUGAGGAGCGAAAGGGUGGGGAGCAAACAGGCUUAGAUACCCUGGUAGUCCACCCCGUAAACGUUGGGCGCUAGAUGUGGGGACCAUUCC